Molecule: ribosomal RNA, 585 nt
Filed under: Phlebia tremellosa
Lineage: Eukaryota; Fungi; Basidiomycota; Agaricomycetes; Polyporales; Meruliaceae
Description: eukaryotic LSU rRNA
Rfam family: Eukaryotic large subunit ribosomal RNA
Source: RNAcentral
CCCCUAGUAACUGCGAGUGAAGCGGGAAAAGCUCAAAUUUAAAAUCUGGCGGUCUUCGGCCGUCCGAGUUGUAGUCUGGAGAAGCGUCUUCCGCGUCGGACCGUGUACAAGUCUCUUGGAACAGAGCGUCAUAGAGGGUGAGAAUCCCGUCUUUGACACGGACUACCGAUGCUUUGUGAUGCGCUCUCAAAGAGUCGAGUUGUUUGGGAAUGCAGCUCAAAAUGGGUGGUAAAUUCCAUCUAAAGCUAAAUAUUGGCGAGAGACCGAUAGCGAACAAGUACCGUGAGGGAAAGAUGAAAAGCACUUUGGAAAGAGAGUUAAACAGUACGUGAAAUUGCUGAAAGGGAAACGAUUGAAGUCAGUCGCGUCGUUCAGAACUCAACCUUGCCUUCGGGCUCGGUGCACUUUCUGUUUGACGGGCCAGCAUCAGUUUUGACUGUCGGAAAAAGGUCUUCGGAAUGUGGCACCUCCGGGUGUGUUAUAGCCGUCGGUCGUAUACGACGGUCGGGACUGAGGACCGCAGCACGCCUUUUGGCCGGGGUUCGCCCACGUACGUGCUUAGGAUGCUGGCGUAAUGGCUUUAAA